UAACAUCUCGGUAUCUACGUUCA
This 23-nucleotide non-coding RNA is filed under the name Rattus norvegicus (Norway rat). Lineage: Eukaryota; Metazoa; Chordata; Mammalia; Rodentia; Muridae. The record is from RNAcentral.